Molecule: ribosomal RNA, 554 nt
Filed under: Brevundimonas sp. CB1-1
Lineage: Bacteria; Pseudomonadati; Pseudomonadota; Alphaproteobacteria; Caulobacterales; Caulobacteraceae
Description: bacterial SSU rRNA
Rfam family: Bacterial small subunit ribosomal RNA
Source: RNAcentral
GGCGGACGGGUGAGUAACACGUGGGAACGUGCCUUUAGGUUCGGAAUAACUCAGGGAAACUUGUGCUAAUACCGAAUGUGCCCUUCGGGGGAAAGAUUUAUCGCCUUUAGAGCGGCCCGCGUCUGAUUAGCUAGUUGGUGAGGUAAAGGCUCACCAAGGCGACGAUCAGUAGCUGGUCUGAGAGGAUGAUCAGCCACAUUGGGACUGAGACACGGCCCAAACUCCUACGGGAGGCAGCAGUGGGGAAUCUUGCGCAAUGGGCGAAAGCCUGACGCAGCCAUGCCGCGUGAAUGAUGAAGGUCUUAGGAUUGUAAAAUUCUUUCACCGGGGACGAUAAUGACGGUACCCGGAGAAGAAGCCCCGGCUAACUUCGUGCCAGCAGCCGCGGUAAUACGAAGGGGGCUAGCGUUGCUCGGAAUUACUGGGCGUAAAGGGAGCGUAGGCGGACAUUUAAGUCAGGGGUGAAAUCCCGGGGCUCAACCUCGGAAUUGCCUUUGAUACUGGGUGUCUUGAGUAUGAGAGAGGUGUGUGGAACUCCGAGUGUAGAGGUGAAA